This is a long non-coding RNA of Manis pentadactyla (Chinese pangolin), 4867 nucleotides long. RefSeq lists it as uncharacterized. Lineage: Eukaryota; Metazoa; Chordata; Mammalia; Pholidota; Manidae. The transcript has 4 exons. The record is from RefSeq and is a predicted model, not a curated record.
UGUUGACCUAAGGAAGAAGAGAGAGAUUUUCUUUACCAGGAGGGGUGAGUCCAGUCCGUGUGGCUGCUGGGUGAUGUCCCUCAGGCCUCCCACGCCACACUCCCAGCACCCACGCAGCAACCAGGGCCCUGUGCUGGGCAGGUGGGGGAGGGCAGACCCAUCCCCUGUCUUCCCUUUGCCUGGGGCUGUCUGCUCAUCCACAUCUCCAUCAUGCCCUUUGCUCUGACAUUUGGUAUCUGCCAAACUGUCACAGAAGCAGCAGGUGGGAUUUCAUGGUCCAGUCUGCUUAGCCACCCUCUCAAGGCUGACACGGUCCCUUGAGUUUCCUAUCACAGCAAAGGCAUCUUUCAUGUUUGUAUCAUUACACAUUUCUUUGCUUGUGCUUCCUUUUCUGGUUUGUGUAUACCUCUUUUUAAAGUAGGUCCCAAGUUACCAUUAUCCAGUGAAUCUAUUUUUUCCUGAUGCUGUGCAUCUUGGCUUUCCUCACGUCUCCCGGAAGUGCCCGUCUUGUGGUCACCCAUGCUAGGAGCAGAGUUACACCACAGGCUGACCACCUCCCUCCGCGUUUCAUGCUUCUAUGCUUGAAGCUCCAUCUUUUUCCCUUAACAGACUUCAUGAUAUGGGGUCUCAUUUGCAUUUCUAACCUUGUUCUUUACCACGCAUAAGCCUGAGGGUUUUUCUUGACUCAUGAUCUGAGUUACUGGAGCAACAUAACUUCCUACAACAUCUCACUGUGUCAGCUGCUUUCCUUGAUGGGUCAUUUUAAUUUCACAUCUCAGAUUGUCAGUAAUUCUCCUCCUAGAAGAGAGUUGGCUCCCCUCCUCAGGCCUGGGGAAAGGGGAGAAGGUUGACGUGACACUUUGAUCUUGAGACUGGCAUGCUGUGAUCUCUCCCUCCUAAAUUCCCCAUGUGGAUUAAGUGAACCCCCACAUACCAGAGUGGAGGUGGCCCUGGGUGUGGCUGUUUGACUUGGUCGUCUUCACUGGAAGUGGAUCCAGGAAAUGUGGAGCAGCUCUGACCCGGCCCGCCGGUGUCGAUGGGAGCCGACUGGCUGGUGCAGGUCACAGGCAUAGGCCCCCGUGCUCUCCUCUGUCUCCCACCAGGCCUCCCUCCAAGCUCUCCAAGCUCCCUGGUCCCAUGCUCUGGCCUAAUGCACCAGGAGCACUGGGGCUCCCUGGCCCUCUCCCUGUUCUCCCAGCAGCCUCCUACUUCCCAGCCCCAGCACUGGGAGGAGCUCUGUGGGCAGGUCCCUGGCGACUGGCGAAGGCCUGACCAAUUAUGUACCAGGAAGUGAGGGGAGGAAGAAUGGGUGUUUCUUUUCCAUCCCUCCACGGGCCGGUACUCCUGUGACUGACCAGCUGCUCUCUCUCCCGUAAACAUCCCAUAGGUGUGCACACGGGCUUUCAUAUAGAUACACAGUGGGUGCUGUUAAGGCCAGGCGGGAAUCCUGGUCAGAAAUCUCCAUUUUCCCUGCACUGCCCUCUCUGUCUCUGUGGGGGCUCCGAGGGACGUGCCUUCCUUCAGUGCCGCUGGUCUUCCCAGUGCCCCUGGUAGGGACUCCCAAGUCAGUUCUGUCAGUUUUUCCCUCUGAAGGCAGGACGCCCGUGCCCGGACAGCCUCACAGGCACUUUGGGCUCAGUGUCUGUGUUACUCUUGUCCAGUCGUGGCUCUGUCCUCCCAUUCCUCACCACUGCCCUUGGACUCACUCCUGCCAGCAGGUGGGGCAGCCACCGACACUCCCUGCUUCCCUGACUCACCAGUCCCAGGCCCGCGUCUGGGGGGUGGUGCCCUCCUGUAGAGGCCCCGCUGCUCCCUGUGUACCUGGCAGCCAGCGCGCAGCCAGUGUCUUAGAUGCAGCCAUCCUCUGUCCUCGAGGGCUCCUGGUGCCCUGCUUUGGGGAGGGGCUGGGCCUGUGCAGCGCCGCAGGCUGAGGCGCUCCUGGAGCUCCCAGACCUGCCUCUGCGCACCCUCACCUGCUGCUCCCUCAGCGGCCUGCUGCUGCUGUCUCCUCAGUCAGCCAUGUGUCGGAGACCUGUUGUGUGCUCUGGGAGGCUCUGCCUGCUCUCCCCGCACUGACCGGAGUCUGUGGGACUUGAGCCAGGCUGCAGCCUGGUGCUGCACGUGUCCACAGGCAGUCAGCUCCCUGCACUUACUCUAAACAUCGCUUGUUCUUUCUCUUUGCUGGAAAUUCAGAUUUUCGGAGCCUCAGUAUUCAAGUGGCUGGAUCGUGUGCUAUGAUGAGCAGCGCCAGUGAUCAUAAGGUCAGUCACACAACACCAGCUGCACUUAGUGCCUGCAGAGCGCUGUUCUCCGCCCUGUAGGACGGCUGCUCUGUGCUCACCAUCUUCCACACUGUAUGAUAAACUGGCUUACUGGUGAGCUUUUGUAAGUGAAAGUUCUACGAAUCACACAGCACUAUGCUACUACUGUUACCGCUGUGACAACUAUGUAACUGUAAUGGAUUUGAUUCUUAGAAGCUGUGUUUACAGCUCCAGCUUGUUGUUCCCGCAGGCGGGGUGCCUGCUCACGUCCUUGUUUGGAAGUAAGGUCGCCGUGUUGGAAAUCAACCUGCUGGCUCUGCUGAGGUCUCAGACGCGCCUGCACUGAGGGGAGGACCUCUCUGUGCUGUCUGCUCCUACGUCUUACCAACUUCUCCGCUGUAUUUCAUAAUUGUUGAGGAAGAAAGUACAAAGCCGGCUGGUCAAAAACAAUCUGGAAUACCGGAUCUGUCAUUUGAUAGCAAGGCUCCCGGGACCGGAACCCGACGUUGCUCUGGAACUCAGUAGUCCAGUAGGGCACCCGACCACCUGUAGCUGGCCAGUGACCUCGAGGGCACUGAUGACUGGCAGGUGGUGUGCCCAUGUGGCCUUGGCCGCACGUCACCUGUGGGAACAGCCACGAGAAACCUGUGGGUGGAGAUGACCCGGACGCACACCUCAGAAUGAAGAGUUCUUCGGCGAGAACAGUGCUCGCCAUCCGGAAGCUACUGCUGGUUUGUGGGCGAUGGGAAAUUCAAAAGGAAGAUGGAAUUUAGACCAGUUUCUGAUGAAAUGCAGACCAAAUGCUUGUUUGGACCCAGAACAUUUUAAAUCAUGUGGGGAAAAAGGACAUGUUUUAUCCAGUACUUAUAGAUAUUAGAAGUUAUAAAAAUACCAUAAAGUUAAAAAGGUUUUAUAGAUGGUAUAGUUCCUAUAAACACUGAAGUAGGCGUGUGUCCACUUUACACUGUGGUGAAAAUAUUCUUAAGUCUAAAAUAUUAUAUAACAUAGAACAUGACAAUGAAAAUAGUCUCUAUUUUUCAACUUAAAGCCCUCCUUCCUGACCAUGUUUUAAGUAUGUGAAGGGGACAGCAAUAUAUUUUUCUAUACUUUGACAUUUUUAAUAAAAAUUAAAGGUGUUUUUUGAAUAGUGAUUAAAAGGGCAGGAUUGGAGAAAAAAGAAGCCCAGGGGUUGCCGUUUGCCUGCAGCAGUGUUAACAUAAGCGCCCUGCUGGGUGACUGACUCUCUUCUUUCUGUAGAGGUCACGUUGCCCCACAGCAAAGGCCCAAGGUCUGGGGCAUGCUCAGGAGUAUGGACAGAUGCACCUGUGAGGCCCCCAGACCCAGUGCUGCCCCCAUCCAGGGUCGCCCACAUGCCCUUCCCACCAUCCCCACAUUCAUGCCCAGUGUAAUGGGCAUUCACAUCCAUCAGCAUUGGUUUUGUCCUUUCUGGUUCUUCACCUUGGUGGGGUCUGGCUCAGAGUGACUUGAAGUGCAUACUGGCACCUCCUUCCUUCAUGUGGGGAGGAUCCCCCUGCCUGGUGCAGCCCGGUCUCCCCAUUUCUCAGCCGAGGAGCUUCUGACGUUUCCAGUCUGUGGUGACCACAACGAAGGCACCGGGGUGUUGGAGCAGCUGUCUGUGUGGACACCUCCUGUUUCUCCUGAGUGAGCAGGUGGGAGCCCAGCGGGUGAGGGUGGGGACCCCCGCUGGCCCUCCACCUCUUUCUUGCUGCCUGUCCUGUCAGAGCUCCUGUGCUUCCACAUUCUCAGCCAUAGUCAGUCUUAUUAGUCUUAUUUUUAGCUAUUGUAGUUUUAGUGUAGUUUGAAUUUACAUUUCUUUAAUAAGGAGUGAUACUGAGCACUUUAUCUGUGUUCAUAGGCCUGCUUUUAAUUUAUUUUUUAUUGUUGAGUUGUAGAACUUUUAAAAAAUGUAUUCUGGAUGCUAUUGUAUGUCACAUGUAUAUAUUGCAGAUAUGUGUCAAUUUGUAUUAAGAUAAUAUCCUUUAAUGAACGAGGGCGUUAAAUUUUUUUUAAAUCCCACUCUGACUCUACGGUUAGUGCUUUCUGCAGCCUGUCUCAGAAAUCUCUGCCAAUCCAGGGCCGCAAAGAUAUUCUCUGAGUUUUCUUCCACGAAGUGUAGUUUUUAUUUGUAUUUAGGUCUAAGAUCCAUUGUAUUAGCAUUUAUCGCUCCACAACAGUAUUUGUAAAAGCUUCAUGGUCUAAAACAACACACAUUUAUUACCUCACAGUUUCUGUAGGCGAGAGUCUGGCGACUCAGGGGGUCCGCGGCUCAGGCUCCCUCCUGGGCGGCUGACGGGCUGCGACCUCGCCGGAGACUCUGCGGGCCGGUCAGCUUCCAGGCUCGCUCAGCCUGCCGGCCGGUCCUGAUCUCUGCGGCUGUAGGACGGAGGGUCCCGCUCUUAGAGGAUCGCUGCAGUUCCUUGCCACGUGGGGUCCCCGGUGAGGCUGCCUGCCUCCUCACACUCGGCAAGGGACAGAGCCUCCAGCAAGAAGGCGCUGUGGUGUCACACACGAGGCGCCUGCACUUGUUCCGCGCAGCCCGCCCCCUUGUUCUGCAGCCCAGGAUGAGUCUUGGCCCUGUCCCCCUC